GACGAACGCUGGCGGCGUGCUUAACACAUGCAAGUCGAACGGAAAGGCCCUGCUUUUGUGGGGUGCUCGAGUGGCGAACGGGUGAGUAACACGUGAGUAACCUGCCCUUGACUUUGGGAUAACUUCAGGAAACUGGGGCUAAUACCGGAUAGGAGCUCCUGCUGCAUGGUGGGGGUUGGAAAGUUUCGGCGGUUGGGGAUGGACUCGCGGCUUAUCAGCUUGUUGGUGGGGUAGUGGCUUACCAAGGCUUUGACGGGUAGCCGGCCUGAGAGGGUGACCGGCUCCGUGGUGACGGCGAUACGGCCCGCAGCCCUCUGGGGGGGAGGCGGUGGGGUCGUUCCGAACGCGGCGGAGUCCGGAACCAGCACCCCCGGGUGCGGGGGGGCGGCCGUGGGGUUGGAAACAGUUUCCGCCGGUAAAGACGGGUAAGGAGCGGUAAUGGGGAAAGAACCACCGGCUACCUCCUU
Molecule: ribosomal RNA, 467 nt
Filed under: uncultured bacterium
Lineage: Bacteria
Description: partial 16S ribosomal RNA
Rfam family: Bacterial small subunit ribosomal RNA
Source: RNAcentral